Molecule: transfer RNA, 5708 nt
Filed under: Lynx pardinus (Iberian lynx)
Lineage: Eukaryota; Metazoa; Chordata; Mammalia; Carnivora; Felidae
Rfam family: Small nucleolar RNA SNORA74 (bases 3865-4064)
Source: RNAcentral
GUUGGUGCUGUCCUUUCCCCUGCGGCCUCUGCUCUGGCGGCAGUACGCGGGCCGAGCUCCAGGCACGUGCGGGUAAGUAAAGGCCAAGUGGGCAGAAGCCUUGGACGUUUACUAGUUUGGGGCGAGAGGCAGCUGUGGGGAGGCUUCUUCCCAGGGACAGGACGAAAUUGGGGUUCGUUCCAUCAUAACCCCGUGUUUGGAGGGCAUCUUGAAGAGUCGCUGGGAGAUGGUAGCCCUAGAGUCGCCCCUUGUUUUCUGCCAGCCCUCUUGUCCCUGGAGAGUCUCCUACAGCUGGUCUCCGAGAUCCUCGCUUCCCUGGCGCCAGAGCCCGGAGCUUGGGAAGAUUUGUGAUGAGCACGUGUCCGGGUGGAGCUCGGUCAAGUCCUGCAACCCAGUCCCCUAAAAGGGGCAGGCUGUGUUUAGAUUAGUUUUUAGACCUGGACAAUGAGCCUAUUUUACCUUUUCUCCCAAUGUUUGGGGGUGGUUAAAAGUGAAAUUAAAGGAUGGCUGGAAAAACAUAUGGUCUUAGAUACCCUACUCUUAUUAUGUAAAUAAGGUAAAUUAUAAUUGUGAAUGGGUAGGAAUGUUUACUAACAUUCUUGCAAACACUUGAGUUACUGCUUUCAACAACAGUUGAGGUCGUUGGUAGGAAUGGCAGCAUGUCUCCGUUUCCUUUCAUACCCAUUACUGCAUCUUGUUAUUUUUCUGGAGUACCGCUUUUAUUGUGCUUCAAAAGGUCUCCUAACCACGUUUUCUCCAAUCUAGUUUUAACUAGCCUUUCUGAUUUGCACUGCCCAUUGCUCUACCAAGGUAACAUUUCCCCUUUUACUCCCCCUAUUUAUCAUAUCCUUGUCUGGAAUGUAGCUUUUUAUAACAGCAAGUAUUUAUUGACCACACACUCUAAAACAUAUUAUAUAGGCUUAUAUAAGCUUCUUAAGCCUAACAACCAUCUUUUGUACAGGGUACCAUUGAUAACAUUCCUAUUUGACAGAUGAGGAGACUGAGAGGUAUAGAGAGGUUAAGUUACUUGUUCACUGUUUCGUUUUUUUAUAUUUUUUAAUGUUUAUUUUUGAGAGAGAGGGAGACACAGAAUCUGAAGCAGGGUCCAGGCUCUGAGCUGUCAGCACAGACGCGUGCCGGGGCUUAAACUCACAGUUGUGAGAUCAUGACCUGAGGAGAAGUCAGAUGCUUAACCAAGUGAGCCACCCAUGCACCCCACUUGUUUGUUCACUGUUACAUAGUUGUUAGGUGAUAGCUUAUACUUGUUGACUAGACCAUUAAUAUGCUCCUGUUGAGGGGUUCCUGGCUGGCUCGGUUGUAAGAGCAUACAGUUCUUGAUCUCAGGGUUGUAAAUUUGAGCCCCCCCGCCCCCCGUUAGGUGCAGAUUAUAUAAAACUUAAAUCUUUUCUAGGGUCACCUGGGUGGCUCAGUCAGCUAAGAAUCUGACUCUUGGUUUCUGCUCAGGUCAUGAUCUCACGGUUCAUGAGUUCAGCCCUGCACUGGGCUCCGGGCAGACACUGUGGAGCCUGCUUGGGAUUAUUUUUGCCCCUCCCCAAUUUGUGCUGUCUCUCUCAAGAAAUAAAACUUAAAAAAAUCUUUUAAAAAAAUGCUCCUGGGGCGCCUGGGUGGCACAGUCGGUUAAGCGUCCGACUUCAGCCAGGUCACGAUCUCACUGUCUGUGAGUUCGAGCCCCGCAUCAGGCUCUGGGCUGAUGGCUCAGAGCCUGGAGCCUGUUUCCGAUUCUGUGUCUCCCUCUCUCUCUGCCCCCCCCCCCGUUCAUGCUCUGUCUCUCUCUGUCCCAAAAAUAAAUAAACGUUGAAAAAAAAUUAAAAAAAAAAUGCUCCUGUUGAACUGCUGUGGUACAUAGGUAAAAAACGUGAAAAUAAAGCUAACCAAGGGAAAGGUUUUUGUUUUACUGUCUAUUUCUCUGGCUCUGAAAUAAGUUAUGGGGUUUUGAGGGUAGAGGUCUUGAAAUUUACACAAGUGUUCACUACUGUUAGCUGCCUAACCCAGAGUACUUGGAUUGCAGAGGGGCCAGCCAUGGGCUUUGGAUAGAUGCAGCCCCAGGUGAGUGCAAUUUCAUUAGCCUGCCUUUGGCCCCAGCUGUAGGCAGCUGCCUAGGUUGCUGUGUACCUAGGCAAGUGUUACGCUGCUGGGAGAAUAGCAGCCGUGAUAGCUGGUUGGCAUUCUGGGCCUGGUUCAUUCCAACUCUGUUGUUAACUAUACCAGGAUGCCAGCAUAAUUGUUCAUUCAUUAAGGUGAAAUCUGUAAGGGCAUGACUUUGCAGGGAGAAACCUAAAAAUCCAAAUCUUUCUGAGUGGUUCUGGUUCAACAGGUUUGUCUAGUUGAACUUGCUGGAAACAGAACAAAGGUAAUCAAGCCAUGAAGGGAUGUAGAAGUAUAGGGAGGGGUGCAAUUUUCACUGAAAUCAAAGUGCCUGUCCCCCACUCCACCAUACAAAGCUAGUCUCUCUGAAGGGAAUUCUAUAGCUGCAGUGAUCUAUAGGGAUGCUUUAUUAAGGAAAUGUUACGUGAAUUUGCUUUAAAAUUCUAGGCAUUCUUCUCUAGCUCUUUAAUAAAAUAUAAAAAUACCAAUUGAUUGAGAGGCUCUACAUAGUAGGCCUAGCUAUAACCGUACUAAUUUCUGCUUUAGGCUGACAGUAUAUUUGUGUUGGUUUCCCACAGAGUUGUUGCCCCUUCAGGGCAGUAAAAUAACGAGUCCCUUUUGUAGUGAUUUUGUUUUGGAUUGCUAAUUCUCUGAGAAGAGAUGCUUCUCAGUUCUAGGCAAACACACAGCACUCAUGGUGGUGCUGGAGAUUGUCCAAUAGGAUUGACUUAGUUGCUACUUCUGUGAAAAGUGACAUCCUAGUUUCCAUAGGAGGAACUCCUGAGGAUGUUGGGAGGUGGGGGAGUUAUUUAUAAAAACUAGUUUUGUUCCAACAAUUGGCUUUCCCUAAAAAGAGUUCUCUUAGUUAAAUGUUGAAUUCCUUGUGUGAAUACCUCAGAUGUUCAUUGUGAACAGCCUUUUACAUAUGGGGUUUUAAGAAUACUAGUGAUACCUAGAGGGUUUGGGGGAAUGGUUAGCUUUAUGGUAAUUAUAGGCAAGAAAAAGACAAUAGGAAAUAAAAUAAUUCUGGAGGUAUUGAAAAUAGGGUAAAUCGUAAAUGGCAGGCAGCACUGCUUCCAUUUCUACAGAAAAGAGGUUUUAGGAGCUGCUGUUUUAGUCAACACUGUUUAGUGUUCAACAGUGAAAUCUUUUUCUUUUUAGGAUGACUUGAAAGUAGGGCAUCCUUGGCCUUCCGGAAGAGAGUAAAUUCACGGCACGUGGACAGUCUGUAUGGCGUUCUCAGGUAAAUGUCCCUAUUAAUUCCAACACUGACUACUGCCUAUGUGGCAGGCCUAUUUGCUAGUUGGUAUCCGUUAGGAAACAACUGGGAGGCAAAAUCACCUGUAUUUGCCCCUGACAAAUUCGGCCUCUUAGCAGUGAAAGGCUAUUUUGGUGGUUCUAGUCUGAAGGUGUAUAGGAUCUUUGAGAUGAUCUGUAUCAUUCCAUCUGAGGAAUGUACAAGCAGAUUAUAAAGCCCAGGAUAGGAAGGAUGGCAUAUCUUGCCUAUUGGCAGCUAGAUCCCAAUCAUGGCACCUGGCACAUAGCAGGAACUCCUUGAAUGUUGGACAAAAUGACUAAAAGCAUGGGAAAGGGGUUCCUGUUUCCUAUUUGUCUAAAAGGCUUGGCAGCAAGGUCUGCUAUCAGUGCUUCCAGGCUUCUGUUUUGCAGUCAACAUUGAAUUCAUUGGGAUACCUGUAUCCAUAACUUCUACUUGGGGUGCCUGGGUAUCUGAAACAAAGAAAGCUGUUUCAGGAAUCAUCCAGCAGUUGUCAGCUAUCCAGGCCAGCAUGAUGCCUUGGAUGGUGUUACACUGUUGGAAGAGCAAACGCUGACCUUCUUGAGGUCUGGCUUCAAGCACUGUUUUGGUGUUGUGGCUGAUACUCUUGGGCAGUGUUUUGCACCUCUGAGAGUGGAGUAACUCCUCCUGUGGAGUUGGUCCUAGUCUGGGUGCAAACAAUUUUUUUUUCUUUGAGGAAAGGACCCUGUCUUAAGGAUACUUUAUCAUUCCUUUCCUCUUUGAAUCCUAGAUGCCUUUAUCUGAGUGAGAAAUCUGCCUCCAUCAGAAUCUCAGAUGUCUGACAGCCCUGUGUGACACCAGGAUAGGUAAUAUAUACAGUCCUUUGUCAUGUAGGUUCUAAUUAACUUUCAGCCUCAGAUGGGUGGUGUGAAAUAAUACAAAAUAUAUAUAUUGGCCUCUGCUCCCAUUCUUGGCACAGAGCUGCUAAAACUCUUGAAAUUCCCUAAGUGGUAAGAACACUAGGAGCAUCUUUUGUUCUAAUAUUUGGUUUUUCAUGCUGAUGCCUGACUGAGCUCUUAAAUCUAAGAAUUUCCUGGGUGAUUUAAAUGUCUUGUUCUAAUGAGGUGGUAACUAGAAAGACCAAGCACUGAUUAGAAACUUGGAAUUUUCAACCCCACUUCCAUUCUUCAGAAAGGGGAAAGGGGCUGGAAAUGGAAAUAAUUGAUUAUUCCCACAUGAUGAAGCCUCCAUAAAAAUCCCAGUAGUAUUGGGUUUAGAGAACUUUCAUGUUGGUGAACACAUGGAGGGAAGGUGCUGGGAGAGUAGCACAUCCAGAGAGGGUAUGGAAGCUCAGCAACCCUUUCCACAUAGCCUUGCCCUAUUCAUGUCCCAUCUGGAUGUUUAUAUCCUUUCCCAUAUCCUUUAAAAAAAUUUUUUUUAAUAUAUUUUUAAAUAUUUAUUUAUUUUAGAGAAAGAGAGUGCAAGCCGGGGAAGGACAGAUGAUCCAAAGUGGGCUCUGCAUGGACAGGAGAGAGCUCAGUGCGGGGCUUGAACUCAUGAACUGCGAGAUCAUGACCUGAGCUGAAGUCAGACACUUAACCGACUGAGCCACUCCAGCGCCCCUACCAUAUCCUUUUAAAAUAAAUUGGUAAAUUGUAAGGAAACCGUUUUCCUGAGUUCUGAGAGCUUUUGCAAAUUUAUCAAACCUGAGGAGGGGAUUUGGGGAAUCUGUGAUUUAUAUUGGUCAGAAGUACAGGUAACAACCUGGACUUAACGAUUGGCAUCUGAAGUGAGGGAGGAACAGUCUUAUUGGACUGUGCCCUUAACCUGAGGGAUCUGAUGAUACUCGAGGUAUAUGGAGAGUCAGAAUUAGGCUAAAAUGUACGACACCCAGCUGGUGACACAAAUUUGCUUGGUGUGGGAGAAAAUCCACACACAUCCAGUGUCAAAAAUGUUGAGAGAGUGGUAGUAGUGUGAGAGUAAAGGAAAAAUACAAAGUUAGGUUUUCUUGGGGCACCUGGCUGGUUCACUAGGUAGGGCAUGUAACUCUUGAUCUCAGGGUCAUGAGUUUAAGCCUCAUGUUGGGUAUAGAGCUUAAUUUACACACAGAAAAAUCUUCUAAAAAGUAAGGUUUUCUUUACAGGUGGAAAAAUUUACAAGUUCUAAAAAAUUAUAGGAAAUAUGAGAACAUUACAGAAGAAUACUAAAUCAAAAGUUCAAGGCUUAAACUAAGCUCUUAUUUUCUAGAGCUCUGCAGUACAAUACAUGAGGCUAUUUCAACUGACAAAAAUUGAAUCUGUUUUUCCAUCUCAGUAUUUAGUGACUGCCGUAUUGGACAGCUCAGAGAACAUUUCCACCUGUGUGG